CUGCUCGCGCCGUCAGCCGUCUACUACCUGGGCCGAGGGAGCUGGAGCCCGGCCCUGGGGAGAUGGCUGCGGUCCCAGCAGCGGAGAGAAGCAGAUACAGCGCAUCGCAGCUCCAUGUCCCAGCCAGGGCUCCCUUCCCCAGCCCCCGCCCGUGGAUGUGAUGGCGGCUCCGGCUCUGCCCCGCUGUCUGUCCCUCCUCGUCCUCCUCUUGUCCCUGGCCAUCCCUCAGGCAUCUACAGCAGUGAACGGAUUGAGCAUCUCCUCACCUGGUAGGGACAGGAGUGGCUGGAGAAUCCUUAAAGGCCAUGCGUGGCCUACAGCCAGCCCCACACGAAGCAUCUUCAAGGCAAAUGCUUCCAACAUCACAUGCUUCUAUAACUCGAGAGCCAACGUCUCCUGCACCUGGAACCAUGAUGAGGGCCUGCGGGCCACCGCCUGCUACUUGCACAGCCGUCAGCCUCCAAGAGAGCUGGUUUUUCCUGAAAAAAAUUGGAACCACACCUGUGAGCUGCAACGAGUGAAGCCGGGAUCCUGGGCAUGCAACCUGGUCCUGGGACCUUCUCCAGAAUCUCAGAAACUGACCGUAGUGGACUUCAUGAAAUUGACGGUGAUGUGCUCUGAAGGCGGGAAGUGGACGAGGAUAAUUACCCAGGAUAUCACGCCCUUUGAUUACAUUCGUCUGGUUCCACCCCACUCACUCCGAGUCGCCCACAUAGAGACCCGUAGGUGCAACAUAACCUGGACCAUCUCCCAGGUAUCCCACUACAUCCAAGACGUCAUGGAAUUUGAGGUCCGGACUAGGUCUGCAGGCCGCAGCUGGGAGGACGUCCCACUACUGAUCCUCAAGCAGAACCAGCGAUGGAUCUUCCUGGAGAAUCUCACUCCAGGCACGGAAUAUGAGCUUCAGGUGCGGGCCAAGCCCCACCUAGGCAGCCAUGAGGUUUGGAGCCACUGGAGCCAGCCCCUGGCCUUCAGGACAGUCCCUGCAGGUACUGAUGGGAAGCUGAGAUGGGGAUGCAGCCUGGAAAGGAGAAAGAGACUGGCGGGGCAGUCUUGGGAAACCGAGAAGAAGAUCCCACCUCUCCCUUGGUUGGUCCCCAUCUUCUUGGGCGUUGGCAGUUUCUUUGGUCUUGUCCUCUUGGUUUACUUUCUGGGCAGCUUCCAGUGCAUCAGGCUACGGCUGAAGAACGUUCUCAAGUGUCACAUCCCAGACCCCUCGGAGUUUUUUCCCCAGCUGAGCUCUGAGCAUGGAGGAGAUUUCCAGAAGUGGCUCUCUUCACCUUUCCCCUCGUCCUCCUUCAGCCGCAGUGGCCCAGACCCCGAGAUCUCCCCACUGGAGGUGUUGGACAGGGACGCCAAGGCCACACAGCUGUUACUGCUGCAGCAGGACAAGGGCUCAUUGUCCUUAGCUGAGACCAGCGGCCACUCGGUGACCAGCUGCUUCACCAACCAAGGCUACUUCUUCUUCCACCUCCCAGAUGCCCUAGAGAUUGAGGCCUGCCAGGUGUACUUCGUUUACGACCCAUGCACAGAGGAGCUUAAUGAGGGUGGGCCCAGGGCCCCUGAAGGAGCUCUCCUUCCACCCCUGCCGACUCCACCAGGGGAUGACGAUGCCUAUUGCACCUUCCCCCCCGGAGAAGACCUGCUGCUCUUCUCUCCGAGUCUCCUCAGUGGCCCAGGCCCCCUGAACGCUUCCCAGCAGGGCACUGAGGCUGGUGAAGAGAGGCUGGCCUCCAGCCCACAGGAGGGAAUCCCUGGAGAUUCGAUCCCCCAGCCACUGGGGCCUCCUGUUCUGGAAGCCCCUGACCUGGUGGAUAUUCAGUCACCCCCAGAGCAUGAGCUGGGAGAAGCAAGAGAGAAGGUACCUGGCCCCAGUCCAAGGGAGGGGACCAGCUUCCCCUGGGCCAGCCCUCCCGGGCAAGGCCAAGUCAGGGCCCCCACUGCCUGCCUGACCCUGAACACUGAUGCCUACCUAUCCCUCCAAGAGCUCCAGGAUCGGGACCCAGCUUACUUGGUGUAGACAGACAGCCAGAGCUGGGAGGCAGGUGGCCGUCCACUGCUGCGCCAGGCCUGCUUGAGGACUCCCUGUCCAUGAGGCUUUUCCCCUGCUGAGACACGGUGUCCAGCAACCCCUGGACAUCUCUGCCCAGAGGGCCUCACCCAGUCCUGCACACUCAGCUGUUGAUUUCCAAACCUCAGUUGCUGCUCCCUGGUCCUAUUGCCCAAGCCAAGAACUUUGGGGGUGGGGUCCUUUGACUCCCCCAUUCCCUCAUUCGUCGUGGAGUCCUGUGGUUUUACCUCUGAAGCAUUUCUCCUCUCCAGCCCUAUAGCUACUUUUCAGGGAGAGUUUGUGGUUCUCCAGUGGUCUUCACCCUGGCUUACUCACUGGGCUUCCUGCCUGGAUCACACCCCUCCCACCCACCCACCAGCACAGGACAAUCAGCGGAAUCUUUCCAAAACAUAAAUGGAGCUUUGCUGCUCCUCCUGGAGAAGGAAAUGGCAACCCACUCCAGUAUUCUUGCCUGGAAAAUCCCAUGGACAGAGGAGCCUGGCGGGCUACAGUCCAUGGGAUUGCAAAGAGUUAGACACGACAGAGCAAAUGGGCAUACAUGUGCUGCUCCUGGUUUAAAAUCCUGCCAUGGCUCACCACUGCCCUCUGUACAGCUUCUUGACCUGUUGGUCCUCCAGCAUCAUGUUGGGACAUUCCCAUCUAGAAUCCUCCCAACAGUCCUACUCAGAGACCCUGAUGCUGGGAAAGAUUGAAGGCAGGAGGAGAAGGGGGCGACAGAGGAUGAGAUGGUGGGAUGGCAUCGCUGACUCAACGGACAUGAGUUUGAGCAAACUCCUGGAGACAGUGAAGGACAGAAGAGCCUGGCAUGCUGCAGUGCAUGGGGUCUCAAGGAGUCGGACAUGACUGAGCGACUGAACAACACAGUCCUACAGAGCCACUUGGAACUCCCUCACUUCCCCACUCCUUUGUACGUGUGAUUUCCUGCUCCUGGGGGGCCCUCUCCUCCCUCAUCUGGGUGACAAACUCCCCUUACAGGGAAACACUGCCUCCUCUCAUGUGCCCAAACUCGAGAUUCAGUGCUGGAGGGACAGGCCCUCAGGGACACAGGGUGGUGGGACAAAGUAUGUGUAUCACAUCCCCUUUGGGGUCUCUCGUGACCUCGGAAUGCUUGCCUACAGCUGUGGCCCGUCUGUGCACAAAUGCCCAGCAAAGUGGACGCGGGCUGGAUCUUUCCACUAUGGCAAGCCGCUGGAAAGUAAACCCCUCCAAGUGGCGGGUCCUGAUGCUGUCGUAGGAGCCCUCCCUCAGGCCCCUCCUGCUCCAACUUCCACAGGAGGGGUCUUUUCUGCAGCUCAAAGGCUGGCACACUGCCUCCAGAUGGCAGUUCCAUUGCCUGCCCUGGACAGAGUCGACUACAUCCUAUCGUAGUCCCUGGGUGAAUUAAUAACCUAUCUGGCAUCACCAUGCCUGGUCUCCGUGUGCCCUUGCUGCCUUCAUGCAGGGUGGAUAUCAUCGAGCUCUCAGGGGCACCCCUGGCACUUUGACAUUUCUGAGGUCAAGCCUUGGAGAGGCGAGCAGUCCAUGUCCACUAGGUUCCGGCAUGCCCGCCCCAGCAAGGGGCUCAUCCCCUCACAUGGCAGGCCUGCCCCACCACACAUGGUGAGCCCCUUCCUUCUUGGUGCUCCCACCACCCGUCCACUUCUCGUCCUUCUAUCCCUGGCAUUGAUCACACUUGUGAUGACAAGAAUUCUCCCAGAGGUGAAGACCUCGAGAUGUUCCUGCUAUCAGCUGAGGUGUGAAAGCGCGCAGUGCCUGCGUUUAUAGGCCCUGCUUUCAACUGAUUGAGCACCUGACAGAAGCCCACUCAUUAGUUCAUCAGCAGCAUGCUGAUACAUGUGUGUAUCAUGUUUGUUAUUGUUUACUUGAUAUUUUUCUUUAAAUCAGUUCAAUUUUUGUUUUAAUAGCUUUAUUUAAGGAAAAAUUUUAUGUUGAUUCUGUAAAUGAAAAAACCAAUGUUCAGUAUAAAUAAAAGGCAAUAGCACAAAGUAAGUACAAUAAAACAGAAUGUUUCAGUUUA
Long non-coding RNA from Capra hircus (goat), 4088 nucleotides. RefSeq annotates it as interleukin 2 receptor subunit beta. The transcript has 10 exons. The record is from RefSeq and is a predicted model, not a curated record. Lineage: Eukaryota; Metazoa; Chordata; Mammalia; Artiodactyla; Bovidae.